This 279-nucleotide ribosomal RNA is filed under the name uncultured bacterium. RNAcentral's name for it is "partial 16S ribosomal RNA". It matches the Rfam family "Bacterial small subunit ribosomal RNA", at positions 506 to 784 of the family's 1533-position model. The record is from RNAcentral.
UGCCAGCCGCCGCGGUAAUACAGAGGGUGCAAGCGUUGUUCGGAAUCAUUGGGCGUAAAGGGCGUCUAGGCGGUCUUCUAAGUCUGAUGUGAAAGCCUGGGGCUCAACCUCGGAAGUGCAUCGGAAACUGGAAGGCUUGAAUCUCGGAGAGGGUGGUGGAAUUCCUGGUGUAGAGGUGAAAUUCGUAGAUAUCAGGAGGAACACCGGCGGCGAAGGCGGCCACCUGGACGAUGAUUGACGCUGAAGCGCGAAAGCGUGGGUAGCAAACAGGAUUAGAUA